RNAcentral lists this ribosomal RNA (732 nucleotides) under uncultured euryarchaeote. Its description in RNAcentral is "bacterial SSU rRNA". It matches the Rfam family "Archaeal small subunit ribosomal RNA", at positions 523 to 1254 of the family's 1478-position model. The record is from RNAcentral. Lineage: Archaea; Methanobacteriati; Methanobacteriota.
AGCCUGCCGUACGGGUCCGUCGGGAAAUCCGCCCGCUCAACGGGCGGACGUCCGGCGGAAACCAUAUGGCUUGGGACCAGAGGACCCGAGGGGUACGUCGGGGGUAGGAGUGAAAUCCCGAGAUCCUCGACGGACCGCCGGUGGCGAAAGCGCCUCGGGAAGAUGGAUCCGACGGUCAGGGACGAAAGCUUGGGUCUCGAACCGGAUUAGAUACCCGGGUAGUCCAAGCUGUAAACGAUGCUCGCUAGGUGUGGCGUAGGCUACGAGCCUGCGCUGUGCCAAAGGGAAGCCACGAAGCGAGCCGCCUGGGAAGUACGUCUGCAAGGAUGAAACUUAAAGGAAUUGGCGGGGGAGCACUACAACGGGAGGAGCCUGCGGUUUAAUUGGACUCAACGCCGGACAUCUCACCGGUUCCGACUCUGGGAGUGAAGGUCAGCUUGACGAGCUUACUAGACCCAGAGAGAGGUGGUGCAUGGCCGCCGUCAGCUCGUACCGUGAGGCGUCCUGUUAAGUUAGGCAACGAGCGAGACCCGUGUCCGUAGUUGCCUGCAGCACGCUCAGUGGCUGGGUACACUACGGAGACUGCCUCCGCUAAGGAGGAGGAAGGAGCGGGCAACGGUAGGUCAGUAUGCCCCGAAUGAACCGGGCAACACGCGGGCUACAAUGGCACGGACAGCGGGAUGCAGCCCCGAGAGGGGUAGCUAAUCCCACAAACCGUGUCUCGGUUCGGAU